Podarcis lilfordi (Lilford's wall lizard) is the source of this 73-nucleotide non-coding RNA. The record is from the annotation of a GenBank genome assembly. NCBI's taxonomy places the organism in Eukaryota, Metazoa, Chordata, Lepidosauria, Squamata, Lacertidae.
CGUAGCUCAAUAGGUAGAGCAUGAGACUUUUAAUCUCAGGGUUGUGAGUUGAAGGCCCACAUUGGGGGAAAGA